Non-coding RNA from Dermacentor albipictus, 860 nucleotides. The record is from RefSeq and is a predicted model, not a curated record. Lineage: Eukaryota; Metazoa; Arthropoda; Arachnida; Ixodida; Ixodidae.
CCCCUGUGCGAAAUAAUUUUAAACGUGUGAUUAGUUUUGCGCGUGGGGUAGAAAAAGAUGUGGCCCUUGCUUUGUGUAUUACUCGUGCCCCACUUCAAAGCAAAGCGUUCGUACGCACUGGAAGAUGGAUCCACGAAGGCUGAAACGAGAAGUUGCAACGUGCCCGGUCGGUAGUACUGGCAUGAUGGAAAUUUUCAGCGAGUGUUCCCGCCUGAAAGCCGAGUUUGGUUUCAAGCCACCCUGGACAACUACUGUAUGAGGCGCCGUUUCUCGGGAGGACCAGUGGGAAGGCGCCAGGUGUCGUGCAGAUGGUAGCAGCAAUUUCACAAUGCCCAGCCUUGGCGCCCCCCCAUUAAGAGCAAGCCACUUGCGUUCGCCUUCAGACAGAUGGUUAAUGUCUUCUUGAAAGCGGUUGAGAAGACAACAUUGAUGCAAGAUUCCAGCAAUGCCAUGCGCUGCACUUAUUGGUCAAGAUGCUCAGAGAAUGGAGUCCCUGCACCUCGUGGUUAACCGUGAACAUUUCUUUUUCUUUUGGAAAGCUAAAGGCCAUUUGCUGCAUCACUUGCAUUCUUGCAGCUCAGAUGUGUACUAUAUUUUUCUAAUUUUGAAUCAAUAUUGGCUGUUCAGUAUAAAAAAUGACGUACAGCGUGAAGGACAAGGACUGUGAGAGACACACUCCACUGACUUUCAACAAUAUUUUAUUGCUUUGCCACAUCGUGUGUGUAUACACAAGAGGGGUCAUGCGCAGAAAAUGAAAGCCAGUAACAAGGGGUGUUCUAACAGCAAGUCAUUGUAAAAAGAACAUGGUCACUUGAAAAAAAAAACAUCACAAUUUCUAUCUGUAUAGAUACAAAAUUUCA